UCUUGAGAGCGGCGGACGGGUGAGUAAUGCCUAGGAAUCUGCCUGGUAGUGGGGGAUAACGUUCGGAAACGGACGCUAAUACCGUAUACGUCCUACGGGAGAAAGCAGGGGACCUUCGGGCCUUGCGCUAUCAGAUGAGCCUAGGUCGGAUUAGCUAGUUGGUGGGGUAAUGGCUCACCAAGGCGACGAUCCGUAACUGGUCUGAGAGGAUGAUCAGUCACACUGGAACUGAGACACGGUCCAGACUCCUACGGGAGGCAGCAGUGGGGAAUAUUGGACAAUGGGCGAAAGCCUGAUCCAGCCAUGCCGCGUGUGUGAAGAAGGUCUUCGGAUUGUAAAGCACUUUAAGUUGGGAGGAAGGGUUGUAGA
This 369-nucleotide ribosomal RNA is filed under the name uncultured bacterium. RNAcentral's name for it is "bacterial SSU rRNA". It matches the Rfam family "Bacterial small subunit ribosomal RNA", at positions 87 to 459 of the family's 1533-position model. The record is from RNAcentral.